This 433-nucleotide unclassified non-coding RNA is filed under the name soil metagenome. RNAcentral describes it as "partial contains 5.8S ribosomal RNA, internal transcribed spacer 2, and large subunit ribosomal RNA". The stretch from base 1 to 120 matches the Rfam family "5.8S ribosomal RNA", at positions 35 to 154 of the family's 154-position model. The record is from RNAcentral.
GAUGAAGAACGCAGCGAAAUGCGAUACGUAAUGUGAAUUGCAGAAUUCAGUGAAUCAUCGAAUCUUUGAACGCAUAUUGCGCUCUCUGGUAUUCCGGAGAGCAUGCUUGUUUGAGUAUCAGUAAACACCUCAACUUCCAUAUCUUUUUUGAAAUGGGAGUUGGACUUGAGUGAUCCCAACGCUUUUCCUCACCGAAAAGUGGCGGGUUACUUGAAAUGCAGGUGCAGCUGGACUUUUCUCUGAGCUAUAAGCAUAUCUAUUUAGUCUGCCUAAAAAACAGAUUAUUACCUUUGCUGCAGCUAACAUAAAGGAGAUUAGUUCUUGUGCUGACUGAUGCAGGAUUCACAAAGACAGGCUUAGGCCGACUUUGUAAACUCGAUCUCAAAUCAAGUAAGACUACCCGCUGAACUUAAGCAUAUCAGUAAGCGGAGGA